This 142-nucleotide small RNA is filed under the name Pseudorhodoplanes sinuspersici. Its description in RNAcentral is "Alphaproteobacterial sRNA BjrC1505". It matches the Rfam family "Alphaproteobacterial sRNA BjrC1505". The record is from Rfam by way of RNAcentral. Lineage: Bacteria; Pseudomonadati; Pseudomonadota; Alphaproteobacteria; Hyphomicrobiales.
UUUUCAUUUAACUCAAACUUAAGCUUUCCCAACUAUGACUCUGAUUGUCCAUCUUCUGUGGACAUCGAGUGGCUCCUGUCCACUCUGUUUGACGCCUCCCUGUUAUCCACUUCGAGCCGCCGGAAACGGCGGCUCUUUUUUG